RNAcentral lists this unclassified non-coding RNA (177 nucleotides) under uncultured Ascomycota. RNAcentral describes it as "sequence contains ITS2". Lineage: Eukaryota; Fungi; Ascomycota. The record is from RNAcentral.
CAACCCUCAAGCGUUAUUUUUAUAAUAAAAGCUUGGUGUUAGGCCCUAUAAUAAUUUCGAAAGAAAUUUAUAGGCCUGAAAAUCAUCGGCGAACCCCUCUGCGAGGCCGAGCGUAGUAGAUUUCUCUCGCUAUGACUCUCAGUGGUGGACCUGCCCUAUUUUAUAAAUUUUAUACAA